This 251-nucleotide ribosomal RNA is filed under the name uncultured bacterium. RNAcentral describes it as "partial 16S ribosomal RNA". It matches the Rfam family "Bacterial small subunit ribosomal RNA", at positions 524 to 774 of the family's 1533-position model. The record is from RNAcentral.
UACGUAGGGGGCAAGCGUUAUCCGGAUUUACUGGGUGUAAAGGGAGCGUAGACGGCUAAUCAAGUCAGAAGUGAAAACCCAGGGCUCAACCUUGGGACUGCUUUUGAAACUGAGUAGCUAGAGUGCAGGAGAGGUAAGCGGAAUUCCUAGUGUAGCGGUGAAAUGCGUAGAUAUUAGGAGGAACACCAGUGGCGAAGGCGGCUUACUGGACUGUAACUGACGUUGAGGCUCGAAAGCGUGGGGAGCAAACA